RNAcentral lists this transfer RNA (87 nucleotides) under Planctomycetes bacterium RBG_16_43_13. RNAcentral's name for it is "tRNA-Ser". It matches the Rfam family "tRNA". Rfam says of the family: Transfer RNA (tRNA) molecules are approximately 80 nucleotides in length. Their secondary structure includes four short double-helical elements and three loops (D, anti-codon, and T loops). Further hydrogen bonds mediate the characteristic L-shaped molecular structure. tRNAs have two regions of fundamental functional importance: the anti-codon, which is responsible for specific mRNA codon recognition, and the 3' end, to which the tRNAs corresponding amino acid is attached (by aminoacyl-tRNA synthetases). tRNAs cope with the degeneracy of the genetic code in two manners: having more than one tRNA (with a specific anti-codon) for a particular amino acid; and 'wobble' base-pairing, i.e. permitting non-standard base-pairing at the 3rd anti-codon position. The record is from RNAcentral. Lineage: Bacteria; Pseudomonadati; Planctomycetota.
GGAGAGGUGCCGGAGCGGCCGAUCGGGUCCGCCUCGAAAGCGGAUGACCGCGUAAGUGGUCCGUGGGUUCGAAUCCCACCCUCUCCG